RNAcentral lists this ribosomal RNA (441 nucleotides) under uncultured bacterium. RNAcentral's name for it is "partial 16S ribosomal RNA". It matches the Rfam family "Bacterial small subunit ribosomal RNA", at positions 338 to 795 of the family's 1533-position model. The record is from RNAcentral.
CCUACGGGCGGCAGCAGUGGGGAAUAUUGCACAAUGGGGGAAACCCUGAUGCAGCGACGCCGCGUGAGUGAAGAAGUAUUUCGGUAUGUAAAGCUCUAUCAGCAGGAACGAGACAAGACGGUACCUGACUAAGAAGCCCCGGCUUACUACGUGCCAGCAGCCGCGGUAAUACGUAGGGGGCACGCGUUAUCCGGAAUCACUGGGUGUAAACGGAGCGUAGGCGGCUGUGCAAGCCUAAAGGGAAAGGCGGGGGCCCAACCCCUGGAGUGCUUGGGAAACUGUACGGCUGGAGUGCAGGAGAGGUAAGUGGAAUUCCUGGUGUAGCGGUGAAAUGCGUAGAUAUUAGGAGGAACACCAGUGGCGAAGGCGGUGUACUGGAGUGUAACUGACGUUGAGGCUCGAAAGCGUGGGGAGCAAACAGGAUUAGAUACCCUUGUAGUC